Piliocolobus tephrosceles (Ugandan red Colobus) is the source of this 776-nucleotide RNA transcript. It is a transcript of the gene named COMM domain-containing protein 4, with no coding region annotated. The record is from RefSeq and is a predicted model, not a curated record. Lineage: Eukaryota; Metazoa; Chordata; Mammalia; Primates; Cercopithecidae. The transcript has 9 exons.
AUGGGGCUCUUGUGUGGAUGUAAAGGACCCUCAGGCCACGCGGUGGAAACUGAGCUACGGCUGGGUCCUCUGGUCCUGAGUGAGGCCUCGCCAGUCCUGGAAGCUGUGCCAAAGGUGGUUCCAUGUGAUUCCAGCCUCAUUCCUCCAUGGGCCAAAUAUCCUAAACAAAGGCCUGGACACAGCGUCUUUACCCAAGUGCCCAAAAACACAAGCAGAAAGGCUCUGCAUGCCCCCGUGGCCUGCCAGAGGGAAGGAUUCUGGGAGACCAGAAGGAGACGCCAGCAUUUAGCCCCCGGCAUUUCCAGUGGGCUGCGGUCCGCUCUCAACCUCACUCCCGCAGCCCCCGCCCUCCGAGAGUCCAGGUUCCAGUUCUGUGGUGAUCUGGACUGUCCCGGCUGGGUUCUGGCAGAGAUCAGCACGCUGGCCAAGAUGUCCUCUGUGAAGUUGCAGCUGCUCUGCAGCCAGGUAUUAAUAAGCUGCUGGGACAGGGGAAUGAUUAUGAGAAGAUCCUGAAGCUCACAGCUGAUGCCAAGUUUGAGUCAGGCGAUGUGAAGGCCACAGUGGCAGUGCUGAGUUUCAUCCUCUCCAGUGCGGCCAAGCACAGUGUUGAUGGCGAAUCCUUGGCCAGUGAACUGCAGCAGCUGGGGCUGCCCCAAGAGCACGCGGCCGGCAUGUGCCACUGUUACGAGGAGAAGCAAAGCCCCUUGCAGAAGCACUUGUGGGUCUGCAACCUACGCAGUAAGUAUGAGGCCAGCCAGGGUCCAGGCUCAUUUUAG